RNAcentral lists this long non-coding RNA (2756 nucleotides) under Canis lupus familiaris (dog). Its description in RNAcentral is "lncRNA (ENSCAFG00000055197.1)". The record is from RNAcentral. Lineage: Eukaryota; Metazoa; Chordata; Mammalia; Carnivora; Canidae.
UUUUUUUUUUUUUUUCCCAAUAGUGCCAAGAAGCCAUCCCUCCUAGACUGUGUUAUGUCACUCACCUCGGUAGAUCUCUGCACCUCCCACCAUUCAUGUAGUGAGCCUCUGUGCCUGUUCUCUGGGGCAAGUGGAGCCUGCAAUAGAGGCACCCUAGAGUCCGGGAGACGGAAGGCACCGGGGCCAAAGACUCCUUAACAAGGAGAAGAAGGCACUUUGAUAGUGAGGGUGAGGGAACCUCAUGUGGCCUGAGCACUGGCCUGGCCCACCAAACAAAGAUGAAGAAACACAAGGACUCCUUGUUGGUCAGCCCUCUACCCUCCCCCUGACACACCCAGACGCUCGCAGAGUACCCUCCUGGCAGCCUGAACAGCACACUCUAGCCCAGUAGGCCACCGCUGGGGCAGAGAGCAGAGCCACACCACAGCAGAAAGCUGAGCUGCCUCAGGAUCUUGUAAAUUGGUUAUUAAUGGCGGGAGGUGGAGGGGGGCCAAGAGUGAUCCUCUCUGCUGGAGGCCUCAGUCCUCUGAACCAUCCUGGUGAUUUCACUUAAUCUCCAUUUAAAGAGGGUCCCAGAAGGCUGCAGGAACUGCGGAACUCAGGUCCCAGGCUUGUCAGACACCUCAGACCUUUACUCAGGCGACCUUCACUCAUGCAUCUUCUAAAUAGCUUUUAGGUCAUCUCUUCCUCUGCUUUCGAUUCCUAGUGUGUUUGUGGGGAGCGCCCUCUCUCCUGAGGGGUCUUUGCCUUCCUGCCCUUCUCGCUCUCCCGCCUAUCUUCUCCCCCCAGUAACCAGGCUCAGGUAAUGGGGUUGGACAAAAGGGUUGGGUGACCCCCAUUUGGGGGACAAAAGGGAAGGAGAGACUAGUAAAGGGAGGAGGCCACAGCAGAGCCCACUAAGAUCAGCCCAGUGGCCAGGGAGCCAGGGACGUGUCCAGACAAUGGUGGGGCCACAGGAGGGGACUUCUCCCAGCAAAGUCUCUGGAACCUGAGCUGGGAAGAAACCAGAUCCACCGAUGGGGGUAGGAGGAAGGUGAAUGAUUAAUGAGGGAGAUUAAGAGAUGAAAUCUGGGAUCUGGGCUUGGGGGGGGGGGUGAGGGAGUGGUUUGCAGUGCUCAGCUGCCUUGUAGGCUCUCCCACCCAUACCUCCCACCCCAGGGUCCAACCCUUCUUGUCCUGGGCAUUUCACAGAGUGAUUCCUAGAUACAGAGUGAGUGAGAAUCACAGAGUGAUUCCUAGAUACUCACCUCUCCACCCCCUCCCCGCGGGUGAGCGUUUUUCUCUCUCAGCAUUCUCCAGCAACCCAUCCUCAUCUCCCACCUCCUCGAUUCCCCUCACAAUCCUUUCAGACAUCCAGGGUCUUCUGCUCCUCCCUGUUGUGGAGCUCCCCACAUUCCAACUUUCACUCCCCCAGGAAGCCGCCUCCAUUCCAAUUUAAGGAUGCCUUCUCACACUUCUGCUCCUCACCCUUUCAGAUUUCCCCUUUCUUGUGGCCCCCACCUUCUCUGUCAUUCCCUGAUACCGCACUUUUCCACCACCUUGACUGCCUCAGCUUUCCAUCUGGUGGGUUCCUUGACCCAGGCCCACCAGACUGCUGGCAUGGAGAUAUGCUCAAUAAACCACCUUUAGUUUCGAGUUUCCCUCCCUGUGCAUUCCUUUGAAUUCUGUGAGUGUGGAGGGGCAACCGGGGAUCCUCCAAAGAACCCCCUCAGGUGGAGAGUCACAGAGAGGUGCUCAGCCAGCCCUCCCCACCAUCAGGGAGGUCCGUUAGCCAGGGGGAGGGGAGUGGAGUUAGGGAGGAAACUCCAGGCAGCAGGGUGCGGGGCGGGGCGGCCGCCCGUCUCGGCCACUUCUGAGGUUGUUUUCUCUUUCAUAAAACUUUGUUGUGGAGUGAACCGACUCAGACACUUAACAUUUUAGUUUCCUUUCUUCUAGGGCCGCCCUGUGAGCCCCUGCCGGCUCAACAAAGAACUCUGUGCGCCUGCUGCAGUUGUGUGUGUGCCAUGCUGGGGGAGCAGCAGGAUACUCAGACCCCCAUCCUUGUCACAAACACACACACACACACACACACACACACACCAAGACCCACUACUGCCCCACUGCCAGUGAAGUCCCUUUUCCUUCCUUUUGCCCACCCCCGACGUUGGCAGAGACUGGCAAGGCUGAGAGAAACUGGUCUCCCCUGUGCCAAAGGCGAGUGCAAAUCUUAUCAGUGCUACCUCCCCCCAGGUGAGGGUGGAGUGCGGAAAAGGGCUAGAUGAGAAAGGACAGCAGGGGCAAGGGCCUCACCCAGUGGGUGAGGACUGAUGCCUCUACCCCUCUACCCGGAAGUGCUGUGAAGUCAAGGGCGCCCCAGGGCACCCCGGGGAAGGCCAGCCCAGCUGCACCCUGGGACUGCCCCAUGGCUGCCUCUUUGAAUGCGACCUGCGACCUGCGCAUUCUGAGUCACACAGCUCAAAGAGAACCCUGGGCUUGAUUCUCCCCCGUGGUGCAGAUAGCAGAUCGUAACCUGAGUGACGGUGGGGGACAGGGUUGGUGCAGUGCAGGCCAGGCAGAGUGGCAAUGAACCCAUAAACAGAGGAAGAGCAGCGCUCAGCUCAGCGCAGCUGGCUUGCAUCAGCAACCUCAGGAAACAGAGAUGGAGACGCACCAUAGCUGCCUCUGCCCCCACUGCUGACAGACAAAAAAAAGAUUCUGCUGAGCUGGGGGUGAAGGGAGGCCACCGCUACACCCCAGAUCCAAGCCUGAGCACCUUC